RNAcentral lists this long non-coding RNA (209 nucleotides) under Eucalyptus grandis. RNAcentral's name for it is "long non-coding RNA (EGRA_LNC007418)". The record is from RNAcentral. Lineage: Eukaryota; Viridiplantae; Streptophyta; Magnoliopsida; Myrtales; Myrtaceae.
UAUCUCUAUUGUAUUAUCUUGAGUACCAUUUCAUUUUUUGAAUUAAGUUGUGCACCAUCAACAUGGGGCUGCCAAUAGAGCGUGUCCUCUUUGUGUAGAUCACGCAAGCCGGUCUUAGGAAGUAUCUCAAUACAAGGGUUUUUUCUUCAAGAAUUGUAAGCCUUUUGUUUCCUUCUUCAAGAAUUGUUCGGCAUUCUGUUUGUCCUAAC